UCAGGCCUAACACAUGCAAGUCGAGCGGGGUUUUCGGACCUAGCGGCGGACGGGUGAGUAAUGCGUAGGAAGCUACCCGACAGAGGGGGAUACCAGUUGGAAACGACUGUUAAUACCGCAUAAUGUCUACGGACCAAAGUGUGGGACCUUCGGGCCACAUGCUGUCGGAUGCGCCUACGUGGGAUUAGCUAGUUGGUGAGGUAAUGGCUCACCAAGGCGACGAUCCCUAGCUGGUUUGAGAGGAUGAUCAGCCACACUGGAACUGAGACACGGUCCAGACUCCUACGGGAGGCAGCAGUGGGGAAUAUUGGACAAUGGGCGCAAGCCUGAUCCAAUAAGUGCCGCGUGUGUGAAGAAGGCCUUCGGG
RNAcentral lists this ribosomal RNA (367 nucleotides) under uncultured bacterium. Its description in RNAcentral is "bacterial SSU rRNA". It matches the Rfam family "Bacterial small subunit ribosomal RNA", at positions 42 to 422 of the family's 1533-position model. The record is from RNAcentral.